GAUGAACGCUGGCGGCGUGCUUAACACAUGCAAGUCGAACGGAAAGGCCCAAGCUUGCUUGGGUGCUCGAGUGGCGAACGGGUGAGUAACACGUGGGUGAUCUGCCCUGCACUUUGGGAUAAGCCUGGGAAACUGGGUCUAAUACCGGAUAGGACCAUCGUUUAGUGUCGGUGGUGGAAAGUUUUUCGGUGUGGGAUGAGCUCGCGGCCUAUCAGCUUGUUGGUGGGGUAAUGGCCUACCAAGGCGUCGACGGGUAGCCGGCCUGAGAGGGUGUACGGCCACAUUGGGACUGAGAUACGGCCCAGACUCCUACGGGAGGCAGCAGUGGGGAAUAUUGCACAAUGGGCGCAAGCCUGAUGCAGCGACGCCGCGUGGGGGAUGACGGCCUUCGGGUUGUAAACUCCUUUCGCCAAGGACGAAGCGUUUUGUGACGGUACUUGGAGAAGAAGCACCGGCUAACUACGU
Molecule: ribosomal RNA, 465 nt
Filed under: uncultured bacterium
Lineage: Bacteria
Description: partial 16S ribosomal RNA
Rfam family: Bacterial small subunit ribosomal RNA
Source: RNAcentral